This 1369-nucleotide ribosomal RNA is filed under the name uncultured bacterium. RNAcentral describes it as "bacterial SSU rRNA". It matches the Rfam family "Bacterial small subunit ribosomal RNA", at positions 28 to 1381 of the family's 1533-position model. The record is from RNAcentral.
GACGAACGCUGGCGGCGUGCCUAAUACAUGCAAGUAGAACGCUGAAGAGAGGAGCUUGCUCUUCUUGGAUGAGUUGCGAACGGGUGAGUAACGCGUAGGUAACCUGCCUUGUAGCGGGGGAUAACUAUUGGAAACGAUAGCUAAUACCGCAUAACAAUGGAUGACCCAUGUCAUUUAUUUGAAAGGGGCAAAUGCUCCACUACAAGAUGGACCUGCGUUGUAUUAGCUAGUAGGUGAGGUAACGGCUCACCUAGGCGACGAUACAUAGCCGACCUGAGAGGGUGAUCGGCCACACUGGGACUGGGACACGGCCCAGACUCCUACGGGAGGCAGCAGUAGGGAAUCUUCGGCAAUGGGGGCAACCCUGACCGAGCAACGCCGCGUGAGUGAAGAAGGUUUUCGGAUCGUAAAGCUCUGUUGUAAGUCAAGAACGAGUGUGAGAGUGGAAAGUUCACACUGUGACGGUAGCUUACCAGAAAGGGACGGCUAACUACGUGCCAGCAGCCGCGGUAAUACGUAGGUCCCGAGCGUUGUCCGGAUUUAUUGGGCGUAAAGCGAGCGCAGGCGGUUUGAUAAGUCUGAAGUUAAAGGCUGUGGCUCAACCAUAGUUCGCUUUGGAAACUGUCAAACUUGAGUGCAGAAGGGGAGAGUGGAAUUCCAUGUGUAGCGGUGAAAUGCGUAGAUAUAUGGAGGAACACCGGUGGCGAAAGCGGCUCUCUGGUCUGUAACUGACGCUGAGGCUCGAAAGCGUGGGGAGCGAACAGGAUUAGAUACCCUGGUAGUCCACGCCGUAAACGAUGAGUGCUAGGUGUUGGAUCCUUUCCGGGAUUCAGUGCCGCAGCUAACGCAUUAAGCACUCCGCCUGGGGAGUACGACCGCAAGGUUGAAACUCGAAGGAAUUGACGGGGGCCCGCACAAGCGGUGGAGCAUGUGGUUUAAUUCGAAGCAACGCGAAGAACCUUACCAGGUCUUGACAUCCCGAUGCUAUUUCUAGAGAUAGAAAGUUACUUCGGUACAUCGGUGACAGGUGGUGCAUGGUUGUCGUCAGCUCGUGUCGUGAGAUGUUGGGUUAAGUCCCGCAACGAGCGCAACCCCUAUUGUUAGUUGCCAUCAUUCAGUUGGGCACUCUAGCGAGACUGCCGGUAAUAAACCGGAGGAAGGUGGGGAUGACGUCAAAUCAUCAUGCCCCUUAUGACCUGGGCUACACACGUGCUACAAUGGUUGGUACAACGAGUUGCGAGUCGGUGACGGCAAGCUAAUCUCUUAAAGCCAAUCUCAGUUCGGAUUGUAGGCUGCAACUCGCCUACAUGAAGUCGGAAUCGCUAGUAAUCGCGGAUCAGCACGCCGCGGUGAAUACGUUCCCGGGCCU